Molecule: ribosomal RNA, 749 nt
Filed under: uncultured bacterium
Lineage: Bacteria
Description: bacterial SSU rRNA
Rfam family: Bacterial small subunit ribosomal RNA
Source: RNAcentral
AUCAUGGCUCAGAACGAACGCUGGCGGCGUGGAUAAGACAUGCAAGUCGAGCGAGAUUUUUUCUUGUAGCAAUACAGGGAAAAGUCUAGCGGCGAACGGGUGCUUAACACGUGGGCAAUCUGCCAAGAAGUGGGGGAUAGCUCGCCGAAAGGCGAAUUGAUACCGCAUGUGAUCAGAGUGGACAUCCAUUCAAAAUCAAAGUCGGGGCAACCUGACGCUUCUUGAGGAGCCCGCGGCCUAUCAGCUAGUUGGUGAGGUAACGGCCCACCAAGGCUUAGACGGGUAGCUGGUCUGAGAGGACGACCAGCCACACUGGGACUGAGACACGGCCCAGACACCUACGGGUGGCAGCAGUCGAGAAUUUUUCUCAAUGGGGGAAACCCUGAAGGAGCGACGCCGCGUGGAGGAUGAAGGUCUUCGGAUUGUAAACUCCUGUCAUUGGGGAACAAUGCGUAAAUAUUAACUGUAUUUGCGUUGAUAGUACCCGAAGAGGAAGAGACGGCUAACUCUGUGCCAGCAGCCGCGGUAAUACAGAGGUCUCAAGCGUUGUUCGGAUUCAUUGGGCGUAAAGGGUGCGUAGGCGGCGCGGUAAGUCGGGUGUGAAAUCUCGGAGCUUAACUCCGAAACUGCAUUCGAUACUGCCGUGCUUGAGGACUGGAGAGGAGACUGGAAUUUACGGUGUAGCGGUGAAAUGCGUAGAUAUCGUAAGGAAGACCAGUGGCGAAGGCGGGUCCCUGGACAGUUCCUGA